GCAAGUCGAACGGUAACAUUUCUAGCUUGCUAGAAGAUGACGAGUGGCGGACGGGUGAGUAAUACUUAGGGAUCUGCCCUUGGGUGGGGGAUAACCAUUGGAAACGAUGGCUAAUACCGCAUAACGUCUACGGACCAAAGGGGGCUUCGGCUCUCACCUGAGGAUGAACCUAAGCGAGAUUAGCUAGUUGGUGAGGUAAAGGCUCACCAAGGCGACGAUCUCUAGCUGUUCUGAGAGGAAGAUC
RNAcentral lists this ribosomal RNA (244 nucleotides) under uncultured bacterium. RNAcentral's name for it is "partial 16S ribosomal RNA". It matches the Rfam family "Bacterial small subunit ribosomal RNA", at positions 57 to 305 of the family's 1533-position model. The record is from RNAcentral.